GCACCCGUGACGUAACAGGCAACCGUGGCAGACUUAAAAUCUGCUCCUCAUAAGAGGGUGAGGGUUCGAUUCCCUUCGGGUGUA
Molecule: transfer RNA, 84 nt
Filed under: Eubacterium sp.
Lineage: Bacteria; Bacillati; Bacillota; Clostridia; Eubacteriales; Eubacteriaceae
Description: tRNA-Leu
Rfam family: tRNA
About the family: Transfer RNA (tRNA) molecules are approximately 80 nucleotides in length. Their secondary structure includes four short double-helical elements and three loops (D, anti-codon, and T loops). Further hydrogen bonds mediate the characteristic L-shaped molecular structure. tRNAs have two regions of fundamental functional importance: the anti-codon, which is responsible for specific mRNA codon recognition, and the 3' end, to which the tRNAs corresponding amino acid is attached (by aminoacyl-tRNA synthetases). tRNAs cope with the degeneracy of the genetic code in two manners: having more than one tRNA (with a specific anti-codon) for a particular amino acid; and 'wobble' base-pairing, i.e. permitting non-standard base-pairing at the 3rd anti-codon position.
Source: RNAcentral